RNAcentral lists this unclassified non-coding RNA (419 nucleotides) under uncultured Inocybe. RNAcentral's name for it is "sequence contains ITS2". The stretch from base 1 to 154 matches the Rfam family "5.8S ribosomal RNA". The record is from RNAcentral. Lineage: Eukaryota; Fungi; Basidiomycota; Agaricomycetes; Agaricales; Cortinariaceae.
AACUUUUAACAAUGGAUCUCUUGGCUCUCGCAUCGAUGAAGAACGCAGCGAUAUGCGAUAAGUAAUGUGAAUUGCAGAAUUCAGUGAAUCAUCGAAUCUUUGAACGCAUCUUGCGCUCCUUGGUAUUCCGAGGAGCAUGCCUGUUUGAGUGUCAUUUAACUUCUCAACCACACAUCUCAUGAUGGCUCGUGGCUUGGAUGUGGGGGUUGUUUGCAGGCUUUCUGUGAAUGAAGGUCGGCUCCCCUGAAAUGUAUUAGUGGUAUCUGAGGCUACUACUAUAGGUGUGAUAAUUAUCUAUGCCUUUGGUAUGCCGCAUGAACAGAUUACACUGCUUCUAACAAAACAACGAUGUUGAUAAAUUUGACCUCAAAUUAGGUAGGACUACCCGCUGAACUUAAGCAUAUCAAUAAGCGGAGGCU